UGCCUUUGUUUCAGGAGGACUAACUAUGC
This 29-nucleotide non-coding RNA is filed under the name Rattus norvegicus (Norway rat). The record is from RNAcentral. Lineage: Eukaryota; Metazoa; Chordata; Mammalia; Rodentia; Muridae.